This 238-nucleotide ribosomal RNA is filed under the name uncultured bacterium. RNAcentral describes it as "partial 16S ribosomal RNA". It matches the Rfam family "Bacterial small subunit ribosomal RNA", at positions 95 to 334 of the family's 1533-position model. The record is from RNAcentral.
CCGGCGCACGGUGAGUAACGCGUAUCCAACCUGCCUUACACUCUUGGACAGCCUUCUGAAAGGGAGAUUAAUACAAGAUGUUAUCAUGAGUAAGCAUUUUCACAUGAUUAAAGGUUUACCGGUGUAAGAUGGGGAUGCGUUCCAUUAGAUAGUAGGCGGGGUAACGGCCCACCUAGUCUUCGAUGGAUAGGGGUUCUGAGAGGAAGGUCCCCCACAUUGGAACUGAGACACGGUCCAA